Molecule: microRNA, 20 nt
Filed under: Callorhinchus milii (elephant shark)
Lineage: Eukaryota; Metazoa; Chordata; Chondrichthyes; Chimaeriformes; Callorhinchidae
Description: eshark_NOVEL_37
Source: RNAcentral
AUGAAGUGUGAUGUCGACAU